Molecule: long non-coding RNA, 759 nt
Organism: Perognathus longimembris pacificus (Pacific pocket mouse)
Lineage: Eukaryota; Metazoa; Chordata; Mammalia; Rodentia; Heteromyidae
Exons: 3
Source: RefSeq, a predicted model, not a curated record
AGAGUACCUGGAGGGAUCAGAUGGUGGCGCUGCUGCCUGAUAGCCAUCACCAAGUGCCUGCAUGCUUGGGUGAUGAGCCCAGCCUCCCUUUCUUCUACAAGACUGAUGCAAAUGAUGAGUUUGGGAUAAUUACUAUCUAAAGACAGGGGCUGCUAUCUUCUAGAAUGUACUUUUGGUCAUGAGACAACUAUAAUGGGAUUGUGGGAGAAAAGGGCUAGACACAGCAGAUGCUGCUAAGAGGUGACCCAAGCUCUAGGGACAUCUAAGAGUCCAUUGGUUACCAAGGAAGGGGCCCUGAUGAGGGUUACUACAGUCAGUGCUUUACAAAGGAAGGUAGGCAGCAAUGCCACAGUUUUAUAUUACUAUUUUAUAGUAGUGAUGGUUAUUAUUUUAUGACAUACUUUAAUAUGUUAAUAGCAUAACGUCAUGACAUUCAUUUUAUCUAAAGCUUACAUUGUAGUAUUGUCUACAUUAUAUACAUUGUAUAUAUUGGUCAUUUCAUGUUAUAUGUUGGUACAUUUAUGAUAUAAUCAGUUGCAUUUUCAGAAUAUACUAAGCUAAACUCUGUACCAACAAUAGUGAAUUUUCUUGUUUGAAUACUAAAGGCCACAAUGGGGAUACUGAGAUGAGAAUAUAGUAAAAACCAUAGAAAAUAAGAAAACGUUCUUUUUUUUUUUUUUUUGACAGUUCUGGGGCUUGGACUCAGGUCCUGGGCACUGUCCCUGGCUUCUUUUGCUCAAGGCUAGCUAGCACUCUACC